GUGGCCACAGGGAACUGAGGGGCUCCAUGCCUGCAGAUGCUCCAGGUAAACAAAAUGACAAUAUAUUAGAUAUUCAAUUCAGUGAUUUCAUACAGUUUAAAAUCAUCAAAUUUUGGUGUAGACCUGUUUAUAUGCUGCCCCCUGCUCUUUGAUGCAUCACUUUUUUACCAAGAAUUUAUUCGGCUUAUGAACGAGUAUAUAUGGUAUGUCUUCACAGUAUUCUAUGAAACAUACAACCAGUUUUAAAACACACUGCAUCAUCUUUACAAGUUUUAACAUGUGAUAACUGUCCAGUAAGAUUCAUGACAAUUUAAUUCUAGUUCAUUACACAUUUUAAUCACGUGUCUAUACAUAGCAUAUUCAGUAUUAUAAAAUCUUCAAGAAGAUUGUCAGGGUUCCCUCCCCACUCUGAACUCUAGGGUACAGAUGUGGGGACCCGCAUGAAAGACCCCCCUAAGCUUAUUUCUACCAGCUUAGCUUAAAACUUCCCCAAGGCACAAAUUCUUUGCCCUUGGAGGGUAUGCUGCCACCACCAAGUGAUUUAACAAAGAAUCAGGGAAAGGGCCACUUGGAGUUCCUAUUCCCCCCAAAUAUCCCCCCAAGCCCUUACACCCCCUUUCCUGGGGAGGCUUAAGAAUAAUAUCCUAACCAAUUGGUUAUAAAGUUUAAGUAUAAACGCUUGGGUCUUAGGACAAUAGAGAAAUCAGUCAGGUUCUUUAAAAGAAGGAUUUUAUUUUAAAAAAAGGUAAAAAUCACCUCUGUAAAAUCAGGAUGGAAAAUAACUUUACAGUGUAACAAAAGAUUCAAAAACACAACAGAACUUCCUCUAGGCUUAGUUUCAAAGUUACAAAAAACAGGAAUAAACCUCCCUCCAGCAAAGGAAAAAUUCACAAGCAAAACAAAAGAAUUUAACAUGCCUUGCCUGGCUUUUACUUACAGUUUUUGUAAUAUGAGAGACUUUAGGAUGGUUUAUAGGAGAAGGAGUUUUCUGACCUGAUGCUUCUCUGCUUCCCAAGAGAGAACACCAAAACAAAACCUCCCCCCUUCCAGCCCCCCCUCCCCAGACUUGAAAAUAUCUUCUUUCCCUAUUGGUCCUUUUGGUCAGGUGCCAGCACAGGUUAUUUGAGCUUCUUAACCCCUUACAGGUAAGGAGGAAUUCUAGGCUACCCUUAGCUGUAUGGUUAUGACAAAGAUGUACAUCAUACCUAGUCCAAAACAAUGUCAUCAUUGAUUAUCAGAUUCUGCCUCAGAGUGGUACCAGCUUGAAUAUGCCUGAUCUUGUCUAGUCCCAGUGCGGCUUCCAAGAUUAAUAAAAUUGUUCCAACAGUUCAUGUUCUUUUUUUCAUCUCUAUGCAGUUCCUAUCUAUAAUGCAGGUACAGAAAUAAUUUUCAGCAUUUAGAAAACAAAAUUAAUUGUUUCAAGAUUUGUGAUGUAGUUUCUGGGAGUUUAAUGUAAAUUCCUGUCAGGUUGUAUCAUUCAAAUUUGUCACAUGAAAAGCAAAUUGGAAGAGUAAAAUACAUGAGACACAUAUGUGUUUUGUUCUAUUUGUUGCUUUACUUUCAUCCUGUGAAUUUUAAUUAACCAAGUAUAAAAAUAUUGCUGCAUUGUGGUCAGAUCCAUGUGGACAGUAGGCGUGUUUCUUUCUGGAUGUGACUUAGGCAUUCGUUUCUGCUGUUUUUUCUGUAGAUCAAUAGCAGCUGUUUCUUGAACAUAGCCAGAGCAGUGCAGACAGCCGUUGCGCUCAUGACUUGGGUAGACAGGGUGGUGUCAUAGGAAGAGCAGGAUAGGAUCUUUAGCUUUGGAGGUAAACUGCUGGAGAGACAACAAGCAUGAGUGAAUGAGAGAUAAGAGGUGUGAACAUCUUUUUGUUAUUGGAAGUUUCCUGCUUGGGUGACAACCAGGGAGGUACAUAUCCAAAGGUCUGAACUGCUCUGGCCACAUAGCAGAAAACAAUUGCCAGGUUAAAAAAAUGUACCUGUUCGUUGCUUUUGCUUUUGUCUUUAUCCACCAUAGCUGCUACUGUAUAGUACAGACACUGAAGCAAACGGAGCUUCAGCUUUGGCUUUGCUGGUUUUGAACCAGUCAUGUUCCUUUUACACUGAAAAGGUCUAUACUCUGUGUGCAAUAAACUUAACAUGAUACAGUAGUAAUCUUAUUCUCGCACGGUAUAGUAUUCCAUAUUUUCUUAAGAUCAACAAAAAAAAUUGGUUUUGUUUUAACUCAGUCUUUGUGGCAAUGUAUUUAUUUGUGCCACUGUGUAGAAUUUUCUGUAUUAGAGUUGUGUAAAUUGUACACAGAACAAGGACUUUGGAUCCAAACAUUUUUUCUGUGAACACCACGUCUCCAAAUAAUUCCCCGCAACUGCCAUUUUAUUCCUAAUUUUUAUUCCAUACAUACAUUGCUGAUAAAAUCUCAUGCUAUUCAUUCAGCAGUUGCUCAUGCAAAGAUUUAUCAUGCUUUUAGAAAAUCUGUUCACUUUUUUUUUAACUUAACUGCCUCAUAAGGGAGCUAUGAAAAAGACUUUAAUGGUGAUGCAUAGAAGGUGUGUUCAUUAACUGUCUAGUAUAAUUUGGUUGGGGAUUUCCCUUUCUCAAUUUAUAAAUUACGAUACAUAAUAUGUGGAAAUGAAGUCUUAUUACCGUUGAUUUGAUGGCUGAUCUUAUGGCAGAAAUUCUAAAGCCAAUGGUUGAGUGCUGUACAGGAAUCUUUGAAAGAGAGAAAAAUAACAAACUAACAUUUUUAUAAUCAUUAACUUGCCAAAGUUGAUUUUAAACCCCUUACUUUUAGCCAGAGCUAGUAAUAUGCCAGAUCCAUUUUAAAUUGUGUGAUGGCCCACUCCAGCCAUUCUGAAAUUGAAAAUCAUUCCUAUUAGCAGAACCACCCCAGUGGCUGGACAGACUUGUUAUGGAUAAGCAUCCUGGUUGUCCUCAUUAAUCAAGUGACAGAGUUGAAUGUUUUACACUGUGAGAAAUUGUAGUCUACUUUUUGGAUAAGAUUCAGAUCAGAUUGUUGGCCCUUGUGGUGGCUUAACUGUGUCUGGGAAGAACAAACUCAACCAGAGAAAACUGCAUUUCAGCCAGUUUUACUUAGGGGCUGUCUGCAUAUGGAAAUUUACCAACAUAAUUAUACUUCCAUAGUUAUACUGGCAUAAUUCCCCAUAUGGACACCCUUAUUCCAGCAUAAGUGUGGCUUUGACUAGUUUAGCUUGUGUCCCUUUGAAAAUGGUAUAAACUAAACUGGAAAAAGACACUUAUUCUGGAAUUAGAGUGGGGACUUCGGCUUGUAUACAUUUAAAACACUACAGUGUAGAUGUUGCCUACUCCAAUGAGAGGGAUUCUCCUGUCAGUGUAGGUAAUCCACCUCCUUGAAGAAUGGUAACUAGGUUGUUGGAAGAAUUCUUCUGAUGACCUAGUGCUAUCUACACAGGAACUUAGGUCGGCUUAAUUAUACUGCUCAGGUGCAUGGAUUUUUUCUAAUAUACUGGCUGGUCUACACUAGUAUAACUAUAGUGAAAUAAGAAUGCCAGUAAAUUUCCCUGUGCAGGCAAGCCCUUACUAAGAUUAUGUUGUGUUUGGGAAUCUUUGGGUUCUUGCCAAUAGAAUUUUCUCUAUUCUCUCAUUCCUAUUUAAUAUGUAUACAUAGGCCUUAUUGAGAAAAUAGGGGUUGCUUGUUGAAUAAUAUAAGUCUUUGUAGCCUCCAAAGAAAUGAAAUCAAAUAUGCCUUGGGAAUUAUCAUUGUUUAUGGCCUCUGCAAAGUGCCACAAUGGAUAAAAGUAGAGACAGGGGGCGAGAAAGAAGGCUUAGAUAUAAAUAUAUACUUAUUUCCUAUUUCAGUGUAAUGGGCCAUUCUCUUUAUACUUUGCCCUUUGUCCUCUUAUAUACCGAUAAAAUUUGGUGUUAAUAAAUCACAGGAUCCUAGUAACUGCCAUACUAGAUCAUACCAUUGGUUUAGCUAAUCAGGUAUCCUGCUUCCAGGAGUGAUUCAUGGUAAUUUAUUAAGCAUCAUGUUGGCUUUCUUUGUAAUGAAUAUUACUGUACAUGUGUGUGAUGUGUUUAAUGACUUACUUUUAUUAAACAAGGAUAAUUACUAUAACAAAAUACAUGCAUAGUUUGUAAACACCUAAAAAUAAAUUGGCAAUUACUACGCCCUUCCUUUGAGCAAUUGUUGCUAAUUAUUUUAACAUAUGGGAUGGGAGGUAAUUGGCCAAAAAGUGUUUUAUGUAAGAGUACUGGUGCAUGAAAAGAAUUCUAAAAUGGACGUGAUCUAAUUAUUGGUUACUUCUUAUUUUCAUCUCUAUUCAUGCUGCUUGAAUUAAGCUUGUUCUCAAUUAAGAGAAUUCAGUAGCUUGAGAAUCCCCUCAACACUGUUCACAUCUAUGAACCAUGUUGUGUCCUCAUUUCAUAUGGAUGAUGUGGUCCCAAGGGCUAAGUUCUCCCUUGCACAAAAAUACCUUGCGUAUGCAUGAAGAAGGUCCAUAAGUUUCAACAUGCAAAGGUUGAGGUUUUUUCCUCAGCAUUCCACCAUCAGGAUGAAUAGGGCAGAUUUUUCCAUAUUAAACUAAUUGCUCGUGCUGGUGUUUGUUAAACCAAUUUCUGGUUCUGAGAAUACCUCCACCCCAUACAGCUACCUUCCUUCCCUUCCUCCAUGGCAGUACAGUGCUUCAGAUGCCUGUAACUCUCUGUCCUGCCACAAUAGCAGCUGCAGAGGAGAUUUCUGGUGAGCUAAUUUUCUUGGAGCAACAUUAAUGUUUGGGGUUUGUCUUCACUUGAAAUGCUUACAGCAGCACAGCUGAAGCACUGAAGCUCACCACUGUAGCACUUCAGUGUAUUCACUACCUACACUGACAGGAGGGGUCAGGAUAAGUAAUCCACCUCCCGAAGAGGUGGUAGCUAGGUUGACAGAAAAAUUCUUCCGUUGACCUAACACUGCCUACACUGGCUCAAUCUAACUUUUUAGUGCAGACCAGAACUUGAUCAGUAUCUGUAGUGCCUGGAAGGGAGCAGCCCACAGGAAAGGUAACUCAUUAACUACACCGACCCUGUAAUCUUUGCAGAGUCUGAUACAAUGGAGUACUUACCAAGAGGGUCUUUUGAAGGAUUUGGGGGCUGAGCGGAAGCAUGCUGUGGAUUAGGCAUGUCCUGACAGGCCUAGAAGGUUGGAGUAGAAAUUGUCUGUAUGUAGCUAUGACGUCAGAUUUGAUUGUCCAACAACAAAAAGUGAUUGUCUACAUUUUCAUGCUGUGGGGUCAUUCUUCUGUGGAGCAAUUCUUUCAGAGUACCUACACCAGACAUCUACCCCAAGGAGGCACCAGCAAUUAGCUUGCCUGCCUCUCCCACUUACUGAGCCAGGUUCCAGACAUCUGCUGAUGGCUUCUUUAAUAUUGGCCAAAAACAUAUCUGCUCCCAAGUUUGACAAGUGGACUCCCCCGGCUGAGAAAUUACAAGCCCCCCUGUGCCACCUAUGAAUUUGGCUUCCUCCCUAUUCAUAUCCCAUGGGUAUUCAGCUGCUUUGGAUGGAUGGAAGAUUGAACUGAAAUUAAUUGCCUGAAAUUAACGUGGCUGUUCUUGUUUAAUCAUUUUAGCAUUUAUAGUGUUACCUUACCUUUAGAAAACAUCCUUGUAUGUGUACUAGCAGAAGAGUUGAUAACAAUACACCAUCCUUUCAGUCAUCGAGGCUCAUAACUUGGGUGUCAGCUUCAUCUCCCUCUCAUUUCCCCCACAGGCAUUGAGACCAUUUUCUAGUCCUUUGUGCCAGGAUCCUGCAAAGAUUGUAGCAUGAGCAUAAUUUUACAAACAUGACUAGUCCCAUAGACUUCAAUAGGAUUACUGUUAUAUGUAACAUUAUGCACAUGCUUAAUUCUUUACAGGAUGGAGGCCUUCUUGGAUAAAGUUCCUAAUCCGUCUGCCCCAGCAGUGAUGCCAGCCUUGAUGCUCCCUUUGUCUUUUUUUUAUAUCAACAGCUCCACUCUUUUCAAUGAGAGAGGGAGACCUUUUUGCAUAGAAUGCCUGCCCUACCUCAUUUAAAUCCCCAUAAUAACUCAGUCAAGAGCAUCCAAUGUUGCAUGUCUUUCUUUCAGUUUUUAUAUUCGUUUUAAAACUUCAAAACGUUAACUGAUCUCAUUUAAUUGACUCUAUUAAAUAGAAAAGUUACAUUUAACUUGCCCAAGAUUACACAUUAAGUGGUAGACCUGUGAUUUGAAACUAAGUCUUCUGACUGCUAGUCCUGUGUUCAAUUUGCUAGUUGUCCCUGCAGUAAAAAAUUAUUUGCAAAAAACCGA
This is a long non-coding RNA of Chelonia mydas (Green sea turtle), 6278 nucleotides long. RefSeq lists it as uncharacterized. NCBI's taxonomy places the organism in Eukaryota, Metazoa, Chordata, Testudines, Cheloniidae. The transcript has 2 exons. The record is from RefSeq and is a predicted model, not a curated record.